UCCAGAACAAGACGCAGCCUUUAUUUGUUGUUGCAGAAAAAGGGGCAAAAUCAUUAGGGAAGCAAGAUGAGGAUUGCAAAGAAGGACAAAAGAGAUCAAUCUUCAACAUCUCCUUGUGCUCAUCUCAGAGCUGCUUACCACAAUUGUUUCAACAGGUGGUAUUCAGAGAAGUUUGUCAAAGGACAGUGGGGGAAAGAGGAAUGUGUUUCUGAGUGGCAAAAAUACAGAGCUUGCCUUUCUGAACAUUUGGAUGAUAAGCAUUUGAGUCGUUUUUUGGAAGCUGAAAUAGUUCCAUCUGAUUUAGGAAAGCCAGUUGACGGUGUUUCUCAGUGAAUUUUAUACUUUAAUCUUUAUUUAACACGCUAGAGAACAAGUUAGAAGGUAAUAAAUCUGCAGAACCUCCUAGCAAGCAAAACUGAUAAAAUGUAUAACGAUGGCAUCUGGAUGCAGACUAUUACCAUGCGCUAAAUUGCUGGAGAUGCAUAUCCAUUGAAUCUAGAAAUUUAUCUAUCCCAGGUUCCUCCUUUUGUUUUGCAAUUUCUGAUGUAGGAGAGUUUCGUUCUGUAGAAUAGAUGGAGAGAAGCCUGCUGUUGAAUUAUUUUAUUGGUUGUACCUUGUGAAUUUGAGGGCUCAGGAAACUUUUUCUGACAUGCUAGUGUUGAGAAUUUCAAGUUAAAUGUUAGUUAUUUACAACAACAGAUUUUGAUUUGGAGAUCUUGUUCAGUUGCUUGUACUCAUUGAUGAUGAAAUACAGCCAGGUUUCUUGUUUCCUA
Populus euphratica (Euphrates poplar) is the source of this 773-nucleotide RNA transcript. It is a transcript of the gene named protein phosphatase, with no coding region annotated. The transcript is spliced from 4 exons. NCBI's taxonomy places the organism in Eukaryota, Viridiplantae, Streptophyta, Magnoliopsida, Malpighiales, Salicaceae. The record is from RefSeq and is a predicted model, not a curated record.